UACAUAGGGUGCAAGCGUUAAUCGGAAUUACUGGGCGUAAAGCGCGCGUAGGCGGCUGUCUAAGUCGGGUGUGAAAGCCCCGGGCUCAACCUGGGAACUGCAUUCGAUACUGGACGGCUAGAGUAUGAGAGAGGGAGGUAGAAUUCCACGUGUAGCGGUGAAAUGCGUAGAUAUGUGGAGGAAUACCGGUGGCGAAGGCGGCCUCCUGGUUCAAUACUGACGCUGAGGUGCGAAAGCGUGGGGAGCAAACAGG
RNAcentral lists this ribosomal RNA (253 nucleotides) under uncultured bacterium. RNAcentral describes it as "partial 16S ribosomal RNA". It matches the Rfam family "Bacterial small subunit ribosomal RNA", at positions 524 to 776 of the family's 1533-position model. The record is from RNAcentral.